Molecule: ribosomal RNA, 442 nt
Filed under: uncultured bacterium
Lineage: Bacteria
Description: partial 16S ribosomal RNA
Rfam family: Bacterial small subunit ribosomal RNA
Source: RNAcentral
CCUACGGGAGGCAGCAGUAGGGAAUCUUUCACAAUGGGCGAAAGCCUGAUGGAGCAACGCCGCGUGCAGGAUGAAGGCCUUCUGGUUGUAAACUUCUUUUAUAAGCGAGGAAUAUGUUGGUAACUUAUGAAUAAGGAUCGGCGAACUACGUGCCAGCAGCCGCGGUCAUACGUAGGAUCCGAGCAUUAUCCGGAGUGACUGGGUGUAAAGAGUUGCGUAGGUGGCAUAAUAAGUAGCUAGUGAAAUCUGGUGGCUCAACCAUUCAGACUAUUAGUUAAACUGUUAAGCUCGAGACCGUUAGGGGUAACUGGAAUGUCUGGUGUAGGAGUGAAAUCCGUAGAUAUUAGAAAGAACACCGAUAGCGUAGGCAGGUUACUGGGACGGUUCUGACACUGAGGCACGAAAGCGUAGGGAGCAAACGGGAUUAGAUACCCGAGUAGUC